UAGAGUUUGAUCCUGGCUCAGAUUGAACGCUGGCGGCAUGCCUUACACAUGCAAGUCGAACGGUAACAGGUCUUCGGACGCUGACGAGUGGCGAACGGGUGAGUAAUACAUCGGAACGUGCCCAGUCGUGGGGGAUAACUACUCGAAAGAGUAGCUAAUACCGCAUACGAUCUGAGGAUGAAAGCGGGGGACCUUCGGGCCUCGCGCGAUUGGAGCGGCCGAUGGCAGAUUAGGUAGUUGGUGGGAUAAAAGCUUACCAAGCCGACGAUCUGUAGCUGGUCUGAGAGGACGACCAGCCACACUGGGACUGAGACACGGCCCAGACUCCUACGGGAGGCAGCAGUGGGGAAUUUUGGACAAUGGGCGAAAGCCUGAUCCAGCAAUGCCGCGUGCAGGAUGAAGGCCUUCGGGUUGUAAACUGCUUUUGUACGGAACGAAAAAGCUCCUUCUAAUACAGGGGGCCCAUGACGGUACCGUAAGAAUAAGCACCGGCUAACUACGUGCCAGCAGCCGCGGUAAUACGUAGGGUGCGAGCGUUAAUCGGAAUUACUGGGCGUAAAGCGUGCGCAGGCGGUUAUGUAAGACAGAUGUGAAAUCCCCGGGCUCAACCUGGGAACUGCAUUUGUGACUGCAUGGCUAGAGUACGGUAGAGGGGGAUGGAAUUCCGCGUGUAGCAGUGAAAUGCGUAGAUAUGCGGAGGAACACCGAU
Molecule: ribosomal RNA, 709 nt
Filed under: uncultured Delftia sp.
Lineage: Bacteria; Pseudomonadati; Pseudomonadota; Betaproteobacteria; Burkholderiales; Comamonadaceae
Description: bacterial SSU rRNA
Rfam family: Bacterial small subunit ribosomal RNA
Source: RNAcentral